GCAAGCUAAAUAACAGUACUUGAGUUAGAUCAGGAAACAGAGAGACAAAUUAGAAAACACCACGAAAAGGGAGUUCGGAAAAAAUAAAUGAAAUGAUGCACUUUGCCACUUUCUAAACUGGCAACACAGUAUAAUUGAUGAAAUGGCAUGUUUGCAAUUGUUUGUAGCCAUCUUUGCAUAUUUUCAUAGAGCAAACUAAACAGGGCGUGAAUAGAGCAAACUGUCCAAGUGGCAAAUGAAAAGGGUGGUUCAUCACAGGAAAAAAAAAGAGUUUGCCUCUUAGUCUUGUGGUCUUGCCUGGCUUUCGUGCCCUGGUCAAGCUAUCUGACCACCAAACGACAACCACUGGAGGCGGCCGCCGGCAGUCAGAUUUCUGAUCUCCGGCGCACAUCUCCACCCUGCCUCCCUAUCCCACGUCUCCUUGAAGACCUGAAAAUUUAUCUGCAAUCUGUUCAAACCUGAUGGAGGUCAAUUUUCUAUAGCAGUACUCCAAAGAUUGAAGGAAAAAAUCGGAUAGGCACCUGACAUAACGAGGAGACAGAAUCCACAGAAAGCAUGGAUUAUUAAGAGUUUAUCCGGUACCGCAACAAGAGCUCACAACAUCAAACGGUAUACAGCCACAGCCUGACAAUCAAACAAAAAGGGCAUAAACUUUAAUGCACACUUGGCAUCAUAUGUAAGUAGGAAAAUUGUCAAAUACGCAGAUAGACUUAGCAUUAUGUUUUCCAGACAGUAACAUUCUAGGUAGCUGAUAAUUCAUGUUGCCAGUAUCACAUCCAGCGUUAACAUGUUUUAAUACAAAGGGCAGCAGUGAAAGCUCAAUAUAGUUGUGAAGAUAUGUUUUUAUAGCACUGACAAAUAGAUUAGAUGCCAUCUAGCGGAGCCAGCUUGCAUCUGUUAAUGCCUACCUCUGUUUGCAUAAAGCAUAGCCUGUAAACAUUCUAGGCAGAUUGGAUAACACGCUCAACUUAGGUUAAACAUUCUAACAAUCUGCUGGGCUUAAAUCAUUAUAUAACAAAUUAACAGCAUAGCUUCAUUCAUACCUGUUAAAGAACACAUGUAACCCCUGAUUGGUGCAAAUCAGAAGAGGCUUUAGUUUACCAGCCAUAGUACUUGGAGGAGAUAAUAGGACGUACAAAGAUAAUAUACUACUGCAUUAUUCAGUUUUGAGUCAAGUUGUGCCUCAAACUGAAAGCAUCAGCAAUUAGGCUAAUCAGAAAUAUAGGAGAAAAAUAAAUAAAAAAAACUGAUACAAACUAGUAAAUCAUGAAUUACUUUCACAGCAUUUGGCAUCUUCAAACAAAGAUACUGCAGAAAGAAUGAAGAUAUUCAGCUUACAAGAAAUAGAGCAAGGAACCAACAAACUAAAUCAAAACUGCAUCAUCGAAACCAACACAUUGNNNN
This 1404-nucleotide long non-coding RNA is filed under the name Triticum aestivum (bread wheat). RNAcentral's name for it is "long non-coding RNA (TAES_LNC011102)". Lineage: Eukaryota; Viridiplantae; Streptophyta; Magnoliopsida; Poales; Poaceae. The record is from RNAcentral.